This 468-nucleotide ribosomal RNA is filed under the name uncultured bacterium. RNAcentral's name for it is "partial 16S ribosomal RNA". It matches the Rfam family "Bacterial small subunit ribosomal RNA", at positions 28 to 507 of the family's 1533-position model. The record is from RNAcentral.
GAUGAACGCUGGCGGCGUGCUUAAUACGUGCCAGUCGAACGGAAAGGCCCUGCUUUUGUGGGGUGCUCGAGUGGCGCACGGGUGAGUAACACGUGAGUAACCUGCCCUUGACUUUGGGAUAACUUCAGGAAACUCGGGCUAAUACCGGAUAGGAGCUCCUGCUGCAUGGUGGGGGUUGGAAAGUUUCGGCGGUUGGGGAUGGACUCGCGGCUUAUCAGCUUGAUGGUGGGGUAGUGGCUUACCAAGGCUUUGACGGGUAGCCGGCCUGAGAGGGCGACCGGCCACAAUAGGACUAAGGGACGGACCAGACGCCAACGGGAGGCAACGGUGGGAAGUAUGGCGCAAUAGGCGGACGCCUGAUGCAGCGGCGCCGCGUGCGGAAUGACGGCUUUCGGGUUAUAAACAGCUUUCGCCUGUGACGAGGCCUGUGUGACGGUAAUGGAUAAGAAAGCAACGGCUAACUACGUG